This 26-nucleotide non-coding RNA is filed under the name Homo sapiens (human). Lineage: Eukaryota; Metazoa; Chordata; Mammalia; Primates; Hominidae. The record is from RNAcentral.
UGCUGUAAGUGCUCGCAACAUUAUGC